This 774-nucleotide long non-coding RNA is filed under the name Pelobates cultripes (western spadefoot toad). Lineage: Eukaryota; Metazoa; Chordata; Amphibia; Anura; Pelobatidae. The record is from RNAcentral.
AUGAGUGUGGUUUCCCUCCAACAGCCGGCCACUGGUGUCCAGGAACAGGGAUCCACUGCUGAGCGUAAGUAAAAAAUGCUUUGCAGGCAUACUAGUUUAUGUAACAGGCAGGGCCGGGUCGACCACUAAGCAAACUAAGCAUUUGCCUAGCACGCACUGUCAAGGGGGCUCAAUGUCUGGGUGACCAGCAGGGGUGGGGGGGAGCUCACAUCGCUCCUCUCCUUCUGUUCACUUUAUGUACUGUGGACCACAUGUGAUCUUCUCUACCAUCUACUUGGCCUGACAGGAAGCCGAGUGCAACCAUCAGCUUCCUGUCAUGCAGAAGAAACAGGAGAUUCUCUACCUGGGAACGCUCGGCCACGAUACAUGUAGUGAGAUUAGAAGGAAAGGGAGGUGGGCACAAACACAUGCGUUGAGAGGUCACAAAGAGACAGAGAAAGGGCUAGGGGGGACAAAGAUGCAUAACUAUACUUAGACAUAAUAAUAAAUUAAUAGCAUGACUGCAUACAUCUUAUUUCCAAGUUUAAAUAAUAUUGUUGUAUAGAUGAUAGUAAGCAUUGCAACAUAUGACACAUGCUAGCAAUGUUCUUUCUCUGUUCUCCCCUAUAGGUUCUGAUGGUACUCUCCCCCUGCAAGAGGAGGGUACCAUUACCCUAACAGCAGUGGAUCCUGAUUCAGUGACAUCAGUGGCCGAAGAAAUGCAGUUGCCACAACUUCCUCCACUGUUGGCUGCGCUGUAUGCGACGAUCCAGGCUCGUCAAGCUGAACUGGAGA